CCAGCUGCUCGGCACAAAGCCUGCAAGGGCUGAGCCUUCCAGCGCCGGCGCAGCCCUGCGGCCCGCCGAGCGUCCCUUGUAUGCAGAGACCCUCACGCCGGGGAGCGGGACGGAGCCUCCGCGCCCGCUCCCAGCGAGGACGGGGACGGGACGGUGCAGCCGCCCCCGACUCUGCCGGGAGGAGACGCGCAGGGAGGCCGCGGGCACGUUUGCAGCGCGGUCGGCGCUUGGGAGCGUAAUGAGGCAGGCCCGGGCAGAUGGCAGCUCCGUGUGCAACCGCUUCGGCUGCUGAGAGCCAAGGGAGCAGCCCCCGGCAGCCCGCUCGGGCUGCACCGGGCAGCCGCGCAGCGUGGGGUGGUGCAUCAGGGCGGUGCCGAGGGCGAAGCCUCAGCAGGCUCUCAGCAAAGAGCAAAGUGGCAGCGCUCUGAGGGCCUCCUUUCCUUGCUGAGCUGGCUUCUUGGGCUUCCUAACAGAUGAGCUUCACGAUCCCAGGGCGGGAGACAGAUGUUGCUCAGCCUGGCGGCAGUGGUGGACUCAGCACAGCUUCCCUUGGCUGAGCUUCCAGGCUGGCAGAAGCUGGUGGCCCUGCUCUGGAGACAGCAUGGCAGCCUCUCUGGGUGAAGAAGAACCAAAACUCAGCCUGUCUGCCAAGUUAUGAAACCUUGUUUACAAAUGGUUUAAGUGUUUAUAAAAACCAUUUUGCAGCAGGCUCCACGGUGGCCACAGAACUUGAGUAACUGUGGCCAAACCCCUUUGUUAAAGAGCAGUUUUGGAAAGCUCUUGCUGGGGCUGGCAGCCUGUGUGGGCUGGGGACAGCCACAGCAGCUGAGCCAGCACCAGUGCUCCUGUGCCAGAGCUGUGGGGUGAGCCCAGGAGGAGCCUGCUGUUUCCACCCCUCCAGAAGAUGCCUUUUCCUUACCCAGCGUGGCAACCAGGUGCUGAUUCCCAGAGGUUGCAGCUAAACUGCUCUUAACAGUUUUCAUCCUUGCUGCAUCUCAGCCCUGGUACCCAGCUGCUGAGUCCCUGGUACCCAGCUGGUGACUCCUGCUCCUAGGAUGGCAGCAGAGAGCAGCCCUGCUGGCCUUACCCCAGGAACCAACCCUGACAGCAAGGGUUAGGAAGCCACUUUUUAAUAGAUAUUGACAGCUUUUCCCCUUCUUUUUACCUGCACUGCUGCCUGGGGACUGGGCUCUGCUCUGAACUUUGCAUUGGUGCUGGUGUGUUCAGGCUGCUGUUCCUCAGGAGGCACAAGCACAGACUGAAGGGCUCAGGUGUAGUUUGGGGGGUUGGGUGUGGUAGUUUGGGAGCUGUAGUGUGAUUUGGGGUCUUGGAUAUGGUUUGAGGUGCUUAGGUGUGGUUUGGAGGCUCAGCCACGGUUUGAGGGCUUAAGCAUGGUUUGGGGACUCAGGGGCAGUUGGGGAGCUCAGUUGUGGUUUGGGGGCUCAGGCAUGGUUUGAUAGAAUCACAGAGUCAUUACAGUUGAAGAAGCCUUCUAAGACCAUCAGGUCCAAUUGCCAACCCAGCACUACCAUGGCCAUCAAACCAUGUCCCAGGAGCCAUGUCCUCAUGUUUUUUGAUGGUGACUCCACCACCUCCCUGAGCAGCCUGUUCCAAUGCCUAAACACUCUUGCAGCAAAGAAAAAUUUCCUCAUGCCCAACCUAACCCUCCCCUGGCACAUUUUCAAGCCAUUUCCUUUCAUCCUACCACCUGAGUGGAGGGAGAAGAGACCAACCCCUACCUGGCUUCAGCCUCCUUUCAGGGAGCUGUAGAGAGCAAUGAGCUCUCCCCACAGCCUCUCCUCCCAGCUCCCUCAGCUGCUCCUCCCCAGCCCUGUUCUCCAGACCCUUGCCCAGCUUUGUUGCCCUUGUCUGGACCUGCCUCACCCUUCUAUGUCCUUCGAGGGAGAAGCCCAGAACUGAACCCAGUAUUUGAGGGGUGGCCUCACCAGUACAGGGGGAGAAUCACUCCUGCUGGCCACACCUUUGCUGAUCCAGGCCAGAAUGCUGGUGGCCUUCUUGGCCACCUGAGCACACUGCUGGCUGAUCUUCCACUGCUGUCAGCUAGCACCCCCAGGUCCUGUUCUGCUGGGCCACUCUUUUCCAAGCCAGGAGCAUGGCAUGGGGUUGUUGUGACCCAAGUGCAUGGCCUGGGGGCUCAGCCACAGUUCUGGGGCUCAGACAUCCCAUGCAGCACUUGAAGCGGGGCCUCUGCAGGGAAGGAGCAG
This is a long non-coding RNA of Pogoniulus pusillus (Red-fronted tinkerbird), 2225 nucleotides long. RefSeq lists it as uncharacterized. The record is from RefSeq and is a predicted model, not a curated record. Lineage: Eukaryota; Metazoa; Chordata; Aves; Piciformes; Lybiidae. The transcript has 3 exons.